CCUUGGCUAGCUCAGUUGCUAGAGCAUGAGAUUCUUCAUCUCAGGGUCGUGGGUUUGAGCCCCUCGUUGGGCG
Danio rerio (zebrafish) is the source of this 73-nucleotide non-coding RNA. Lineage: Eukaryota; Metazoa; Chordata; Actinopteri; Cypriniformes; Danionidae. The record is from Rfam.